ACGGGUGAGUAACACGUGGGUGAUCUGCCCUGUACUUCGGGAUAAGCUUGGGAAACUGGGUCUAAUACCGGAUAGGACCAUGGUUUAGUGUCUCAUGGUGGAAAAAUUAUUGUUUUGGUGCAGGAUGAGCUCGCGGCCUAUCAGCUUGUUGGUGGGGUAAUGGCCUACCAAGGCGUCGACGGGUAGCCGGCCUGAGAGGGUGGACGGCCACAUUGGGACUGAGAUACGGCCCAGACUCCUACGGGAGGCAGCAGUGGGGAAUAUUGCACAAUGGGCGCAAGCCUGAUGCAGCGACGCCGCGUGGGGGAUGACGGCCUUCGGGUUGUAAACUCCUUUCGUUAGGGACGAAGCCACACUUUUUGGGUGUGGUGACGGUACCUUUGUUAAGAAGCACCGGCUAACUACGUGCCAGCAGCCGCGGUAAUACGUAAGGUGCGAGCGUUGUCCGGAAUUACUGGGCGUAAAGAGCUCGUAGGUGGUUUGUUGCGUCUUCUGUGAAAUUCCGGGGCUUAACUUCGGCGUGCCGGGAGUUGCGGGCAUAACUAGAUUGCUGUAGGGAAUACAGAGAAUUCCUGCUAUUCCCCGUGGAAUACGUAAAAUUCUUGAGGAACUACGAAUGACCCCGGCAGGUCUCCCCGGC
Molecule: ribosomal RNA, 640 nt
Filed under: uncultured bacterium
Lineage: Bacteria
Description: bacterial SSU rRNA
Rfam family: Bacterial small subunit ribosomal RNA
Source: RNAcentral